Molecule: long non-coding RNA, 1145 nt
Filed under: Olea europaea subsp. europaea
Lineage: Eukaryota; Viridiplantae; Streptophyta; Magnoliopsida; Lamiales; Oleaceae
Source: RNAcentral
GCCUUCUUCAUUUUUGAUUUUUUUCCUUUGAUUGAUUCAUUGUUUCCUUCUCAAGCCAAAGAUUAUUGAGCAAAUCAUACAUAAAUAAAUAUAUUAUUUAUUUAUACUAUAUAAGAUUCAAAUUACAAACCAAUGAAACCAUAGAAGAAGAAAAAUCUGCGGCUCAAAUUAAUCAGUCAAUCUUUAGAAAAAAUCAAAAUUUCUCGUUUCUCCAAAGUCGAUCGGCCUUCAACAUUUGAAGAUUGUUGAAGAUAAUCCGGUAAUUUUGUAUUUUUUGCAUAAUACCUCAUUAUUGGUUGAUUGCAAUUUGUACCCCUUUUUGUUUAUAAUUUUUUCGAUCUUUCACUGCCUAGGCUGGGAGUUAAAUUAUCGGUUAUUGGAUCUUCAGUUGCUAGAUUAAAGGUGCGAGUUUUUCAUUUUUGUUUUCAUUUUGAUUGCGUAGUUGUUGAUUUGCUUGGGUCUCUUCAAUUAUUUUGGGUUUACAUUAAUUGUAAAAUGUUUUCUGAUUAUGAAAAUUAGUUUGGUCCAAAUGCUAGAAGCCAUAUUGAUUACCAUUAUGUUUCAUCAGCAAGUGGUGAUACUGAUACAGAUUGUGGAACAAAAGCACAAGGAGUUGUGGCACGUCUUCUGGGAAUGGAUUCAUUGCCAACUUCAAACGUUUUUUUUUUUUUUACCCCUAUUCUACUCCGUUUAUAGGGUCUCACUCUUUCAGAGAUUCUCGUUACUUGGGAACCCCCGUGUUUUAGAAUGAACAUGAUAUUGUAAUCUUUGAAAGAGUGAACAUGAACCCGUGUCUUCUAGCAUUCGGACCAGUUGUAGCUCGUGAUGUGGCAACAGAAAUUCAUGAUGGCUGUUAUCUAAAAAUUUAUCAUGUAUUUCCUGCUGCCUGUGUGAUUUUGAAUUUUUUUCCCCAAAUAAUGAAUUUCAAAUUAAUAUAGCUUUUACCCCGUUUGUCAAUAGACAAUAGGUUACUGAAGAAGUCUUGGAUGGUAAGAUCCGUAUGUUCUACACUUCAUCCAAAACCACUAGGUUUCUCAAACAAUUUGUUUUAAGAUUGGAUCUGCUAAGUCUGCUAGGACCCAAAACCUUUUUCAAUUUGUUUAAUAAGUUGGAUGUAAACAGACUGGAUAGCACUAGAAAAAUUA